AGAGUUUGAUCCUGGCUCAGGAUGAACGCUGGCGGCGUGCUUAACACAUGCAAGUCGAACGAAGCACUCUAUUUGAUUUUCUUCGGAAAUGAAGAUUUUGUGACUGAGUGGCGGACGGGUGAGUAACGCGUGGGUAACCUGCCUCAUACAGGGGGAUAACAGUUGGAAACGACUGCUAAUACCGCAUAAGCGCACAGGAUUGCAUGAUCCGGUGUGAAAAACUCCGGUGGUAUGAGAUGGACCCGCGUCUGAUUAGCCAGUUGGCAGGGUAACGGCCUACCAAAGCGACGAUCAGUAGCCGACCUGAGAGGGUGACCGGCCACAUUGGGACUGAGACACGGCCCAAACUCCUACGGGAGGCAGCAGUGGGGAAUAUUGCACAAUGGGCGAAAGCCUGAUGCAGCAACGCCGCGUGAGUGAAGAAGUAUCUCGGUAUGUAAAGCUCUAUCAGCAGGGAAGAAAAUGACGGUACCUGACUAAGAAGCACCGGCUAAAUACGUGCCAGCAGCCGCGGUAAUACGUAUGGUGCAAGCGUUAUCCGGAUUUACUGGGUGUAAAGGGAGCGUAGACGGCUGUGUAAGUCUGAAGUGAAAGCCCGGGGCUCAACCCCGGGACUGCUUUGGAAACUAUGCAGCUAGAGUGUCGGAGAGGUAAGUGGAAUUCCCAGUGUAGCGGUGAAAUGCGUAGAUAUUGGGAGGAACACCAGUGGCGAAGGCGGCUUACUGGACGAUGACUGACGUUGAGGCUCGAAAGCGUGGGGAGCAAACAGGAUUAGAUACCCUGGUAGUCCACGCCGUAAACGAUGACUACUAGGUGUCGGGGAGCAAAGCUCUUCGGUGCCGCAGCAAACGCAAUAAGUAGUCCACCUGGGGAGUACGUUCGCAAGAAUGAAACUCAAAGGAAUUGACGGGGACCCGCACAAGCGGUGGAGCAUGUGGUUUAAUUCGACGCAACGCGAAGAACCUUACCAAGUCUUGACAUCCCUUGACAGGCAUAGAAAUAUGUUUUCUCUUCGGAGCAAGGAGACAGGUGGUGCAUGGUUGUCGUCAGCUCGUGUCGUGAGAUGUUGGGUUAAGUCCCGCAACGAGCGCAACCCUUAUGGUCAGUUACUACGCAAGAGGACUCUGGCCAGACUGCCGUUGACAAAACGGAGGAAGGUGGGGAUGACGUCAAAUCAUCAUGCCCUUUAUGACUUGGGCUACACACGUACUACAAUGGCGUUAAACAAAGAGAAGCAAGACCGCGAGGUGGAGCAAAACUCAGAAACAACGUCCCAGUUCGGACUGCAGGCUGCAACUCGCCUGCACGAAGUCGGAAUUGCUAGUAAUCGUGGAUCAGCAUGCCACGGUGAAUACGUUCCCGGGCCUUGCACACACCGCCCGUCA
Molecule: ribosomal RNA, 1385 nt
Filed under: uncultured bacterium
Lineage: Bacteria
Description: bacterial SSU rRNA
Rfam family: Bacterial small subunit ribosomal RNA
Source: RNAcentral